Molecule: ribosomal RNA, 520 nt
Filed under: uncultured bacterium
Lineage: Bacteria
Description: bacterial SSU rRNA
Rfam family: Bacterial small subunit ribosomal RNA
Source: RNAcentral
GGGAAUCUACCGUGCCCUGCGGGAUAGCUCCGGGAAACUGGAAUUAAUACCGCAUACGCCCUACGGGGGAAAGAUUUAUCGGGGUAUGAUGAGCCCGCGUUGGAUUAGCUAGUUGGUGGGGUAAAGGCCUACCAAGGCGACGAUCCAUAGCUGGUCUGAGAGGAUGAUCAGCCACAUUGGGACUGAGACACGGCCCAAACUCCUACGGGAGGCAGCAGUGGGGAAUAUUGGACAAUGGGCGCAAGCCUGAUCCAGCCAUGCCGCGUGAGUGAUGAGGGCCUUAGGGUUGUAAAGCUCUUUCACCGGUGAAGAUAAUGACGGUAACCGGAGAAGAAGCCCCGGCUAACUUCGUGCCAGCAGCCGCGGUAAUACGAAGGGGGCUAGCGUUGUUCGGAAUUACUGGGCGUAAAGCGCACGUAGGCGGAUAUUUAAGUCAGGGGUGAAAUCCCAGAGCUCAACUCUGGAACUGCCUUUGAUACUGGGUAUCUUGAGUAUGGAAGAGGUAAGUGGAAUUGCGAGU